CAGCCGCCGCGGUAAUACGUAGGUGGCAAGCGUUGUCCGGAAUUAUUGGGCGUAAAGCGCGCGCAGGCGGAUAGGUCAGUCUGUCUUAAAAGUUCGGGGCUCAACCCCGUGAUGGGAUGGAAACUGCCAAUCUAGAGUAUCGGAGAGGAAAGUGGAAUUCCUAGUGUAGCGGUGAAAUGCGUAGAUAUUAGGAAGAACACCAGUGGCGAAGGCGACUUUCUGGACGAAAACUGACGCUGAGGCGCGAAAGCCAGGGGAGCGAACGGGAUUAGAGACCCCCGUAGUCCCUGUCUCUUAUACA
RNAcentral lists this ribosomal RNA (301 nucleotides) under uncultured bacterium. RNAcentral describes it as "partial 16S ribosomal RNA". It matches the Rfam family "Bacterial small subunit ribosomal RNA", at positions 509 to 809 of the family's 1533-position model. The record is from RNAcentral.